UUGGAGGGCAAGUCUGGUGCCAGCAGCCGCGGAAAUUCCAGCUCCAAUAGCGUAUAUUAAAGUUGUUGCAGUUAAAAAGCUCGUAGUUGAAUUUCGGGGUCAGUAGGUCGGUCGUGCCACUGGUAUGAACUGGUUUUACUGAUUCCUCCCUCUUGAAGAACUGUAAUGCCAUUAAUUUGGUGUUGCAGGGAAUCAGGACUGUUACUUUGAAAAAAUUAGAGUGUUUAAAGCAGGCUUUAGCUUGAAUACAUUAGCAUGGAAUAAUGAAAUAGGACGUUUGAUCCUAUUUUGUUGGUUUCUAGGAUUGACGUAAUGAUUAAUAGGGAUAGUUGGGGGCAUUAGUAUUCAAUUGUCAGAGGUGAAAUUCUUGGAUUUAUUGAAGACUAACUACUGCGAAAGCAUUUGCCAAGGAUGUUUUCAUUAAUCAAGAACGAAAGUUAGGGGAUCGAAGACGAUCAGAUACCGUCGUAGUCUUAACCAUAAACUAUGCCGACUAGGGAUCGGAUGAUGUUAAUUUUUUAAUGACUCAUUCGGCGCCUUACGGGAAAC
Molecule: ribosomal RNA, 549 nt
Filed under: uncultured Glomeromycotina
Lineage: Eukaryota; Fungi; Glomeromycota
Description: SSU rRNA
Rfam family: Eukaryotic small subunit ribosomal RNA
Source: RNAcentral